AAGGAUUUAAGUUAAAAAAACUAUUAACCUUCAAAGUUAAAAUUAAAUUUUUAUUUAAGCCUUA
RNAcentral lists this transfer RNA (64 nucleotides) under Bostrichoidea sp. 5 KM-2017. Its description in RNAcentral is "tRNA-Trp". The record is from RNAcentral. Lineage: Eukaryota; Metazoa; Arthropoda; Insecta; Coleoptera.